Molecule: ribosomal RNA, 292 nt
Filed under: uncultured bacterium
Lineage: Bacteria
Description: partial 16S ribosomal RNA
Rfam family: Bacterial small subunit ribosomal RNA
Source: RNAcentral
UGACCUACGGGGCGCAGCAGUGGGGAAUAUUGCACAAUGGGGGACACCCUGAUGCAGCAACGCCGCGUGAGUGAAGAAGUAUUUCGGUAUGUAAAGCUCUAUCAGCAGGGAAGAAAAAAGACGGUACCUGACUAAGAAGCCCCGGCUAACUACGUGCCAGCAGCCGCGGUAAUACGUAGGGGGCAAGCGUUAUCCGGAUUUACUGGGUGUAAAGGGAGCGUAGACGGAGGAGCAAGUCUGAUGUGAAAAUCCGGGGCCCAACCCCGGCACUGCAUUGGAAACUGUCUAUCUA